RNAcentral lists this ribosomal RNA (909 nucleotides) under Escherichia coli. RNAcentral describes it as "partial 23S ribosomal RNA". It matches the Rfam family "Bacterial large subunit ribosomal RNA", at positions 241 to 1191 of the family's 2925-position model. Lineage: Bacteria; Pseudomonadati; Pseudomonadota; Gammaproteobacteria; Enterobacterales; Enterobacteriaceae. The record is from RNAcentral.
CAGUAGCGGCGAGCGAACGGGGAGCAGCCCAGAGCCUGAAUCAGUGUGUGUGUUAGUGGAAGCGUCUGGAAAGGCGCGCGAUACAGGGUGACAGCCCCGUACACAAAAAUGCACAUACUGUGAGCUCGAUGAGUAGGGCGGGACACGUGGUAUCCUGUCUGAAUAUGGGGGGACCAUCCUCCAAGGCUAAAUACUCCUGACUGACCGAUAGUGAACCAGUACCGUGAGGGAAAGGCGAAAAGAACCCCGGCGAGGGGAGUGAAAAAGAACCUGAAACCGUGUACGUACAAGCAGUGGGAGCCUCUUUAUGGGGUGACUGCGUACCUUUUGUAUAAUGGGUCAGCGACUUAUAUUCUGUAGCAAGGUUAACCGAAUAGGGGAGCCGAAGGGAAACCGAGUCUUAACUGGGCGUUAAGUUGCAGGGUAUAGACCCGAAACCCGGUGAUCUAGCCAUGGGCAGGUUGAAGGUUGGGUAACACUAACUGGAGGACCGAACCGACUAAUGUUGAAAAAUUAGCGGAUGACUUGUGGCUGGGGGUGAAAGGCCAAUCAAACCGGGAGAUAGCUGGUUCUCCCCGAAAGCUAUUUAGGUAGCGCCUCGUGAAUUCAUCUCCGGGGGUAGAGCACUGUUUCGGCAAGGGGGUCAUCCCGACUUACCAACCCGAUGCAAACUGCGAAUACCGGAGAAUGUUAUCACGGGAGACACACGGCGGGUGCUAACGUCCGUCGUGAAGAGGGAAACAACCCAGACCGCCAGCUAAGGUCCCAAAGUCAUGGUUAAGUGGGAAACGAUGUGGGAAGGCCCAGACAGCCAGGAUGUUGGCUUAGAAGCAGCCAUCAUUUAAAGAAAGCGUAAUAGCUCACUGGUCGAGUCGGCCUGCGCGGAAGAUGUAACGGGGCUAAACCAUG